UAUGUGUUGUUGGGUAGGGGAGCGUUCUGUAAGCCUGCGAAGGUGUGCUGUGAGGCAUGCUGGAGGUAUCAGAAGUGCGAAUGCUGACAUAAGUAACGAUAAAGCGGGUGAAAAGCCCGCUCGCCGGAAGACCAAGGGUUCCUGUCCAACGUUAAUCGGGGCAGGGUGAGUCGACCCCUAAGGCGAGGCCGAAAGGCGUAGUCGAUGGGAAACAGGUUAAUAUUCCUGUACUUGGUGUUACUGCGAAGGGGGGACGGAGAAGGCUAUGUUAGCCGGGCGACGGUUGUCCCGGUUUAAGCAUGUAGGCUGGUUAUCCAGGCAAAUCCGGAUAAUCAAGGCUGAGGUGUGAUGACGAGGCACUACGGUGCUGAAGUAACAAAUGCCCUGCUUCCAGGAAAAGCCUCUAAGCAUCAGGUAACAUCAAAUCGUACCCCAAACCGACACAGGUGGUCAGGUAGAGAAUACCAAGGCGCUUGAGAGAACUCGGGUGAAGGAACUAGGCAAAAUGGUGCCGUAACUUCGGGAGAAGGCACGCUGGUGUGUAGGUGAAGUCCCUGCGGAUGGAGCUGAGACCAGUCGAAGAUACCAGCUGGCUGCAACUGUUUAUUAAAAACACAGCACUGUGCAAACACGAAAGUGGACGUAUACGGUGUGACGCCUGCCCGGUGCCGGAAGGUUAAUUGAUGGGGUUAUCCGUAAGGAGAAGCUCUUGAUCGAAGCCCCGGUAAACGGCGGCCGUAACUAUAACGGUCCUAAGGUAGCGAAAUUCCUUGUCGGGUAAGUUCCGACCUGCACGAAUGGCGUAAUGAUGGCCAGGCUGUCUCCACCCGAGACUCAGUGAAAUUGAACUCGCUGUGAAGAUGCAGUGUACCCGCGGCAAGACGGAAAGACCCCGUGAACCUUUACUAUAGCUUGACACUGAACAUUGAGCCUUGAUGUGUAGGAUAGGUGGGAGGCUUUGAAGCGUGGACGCCAGUCUGCGUGGAGCCAACCUUGAAAUACCACCCUUUAAUGUUUGAUGUUCUAACGUUGGCCCCUGACCGGGGUUGCGGACAGUGUCUGGUGGGUAGUUUGACUGGGGCGGUCUCCUCCCAAAGCGUAACGGAGGAGCACGAAGGUUAGCUAAUCCUGGUCGGACAUCAGGAGGUUAGUGCAAUGGCAUAAGCUAGCUUGACUGCGAGCGUGACGGCGCGAGCAGGUGCGAAAGCAGGUCAUAGUGAUCCGGUGGUUCUGAAUGGAAGGGCCAUCGCUCAACGGAUAAAAGGUACUCCGGGGAUAACAGGCUGAUACCGCCCAAGAGUUCAUAUCGACGGCGGUGUUUGGCACCUCGAUGUCGGCUCAUCACAUCCUGGGGCUGAAGUAGGUCCCAAGGGUAUGGCUGUUCGCCAUUUAAAGUGGUACGCGAGCUGGGUUUAGAACGUCGUGAGACAGUUCGGUCCCUAUCUGCCGUGGGCGCUGGAGAAUUGAGGGGGGCUGCUCCUAGUACGAGAGGACCGGAGUGGACGCAUCACUGGUGUUCGGGUUGUCAUGCCAAUGGCACUGCCCGGUAGCUAAAUGCGGAAGAGAUAAGUGCUGAAAGCAUCUAAGCACGAAACUUGCCCCGAGAUGAGUUCUCCCUGAGACUUUAAGUCUCCUGAAGGAACGUU
RNAcentral lists this ribosomal RNA (1646 nucleotides) under Klebsiella pneumoniae. Its description in RNAcentral is "partial 23S ribosomal RNA". It matches the Rfam family "Bacterial large subunit ribosomal RNA", at positions 1215 to 2839 of the family's 2925-position model. The record is from RNAcentral. Lineage: Bacteria; Pseudomonadati; Pseudomonadota; Gammaproteobacteria; Enterobacterales; Enterobacteriaceae.